UAAAGGAGGUACAGCUCCUUUAAAAAAGAAUACAACCUCUCCUAGCGGAUAAACCCACCACACAGACAAAACAAUUGUGGGCCUUCAAGCAGCCAUCAACAAAGAGUGCGUCAAAGCUCCAUUCCCUACAAAACCACAAAACUACAUGACUCCCUUCCCACUAACAGGUUAACCUAUUACAAUAGGAGAAUUAAUACUAAAAUGAGUAACUAGGGCAUACCCCUCUCAAGCGCAAACUUACAUCCUACAUUAUUAACAGACAUCUAAUAUUUCCAUAUCAACAAGAUCACAUAUUUUACUACCUGUUAACCCAACCCAGGAGCGCCUACUAGAAAGAUUAAAAUCUGUAAAAGGAACUAGGCAAACCUUCAAGGCCCGACUGUUUACCAAAAACAUAGCCUUCAGCGAAACCAAGUAUUGAAGGUGAUGCCUGCCCAGUGACUUACGUUCAACGGCCGCGGUAUCCUAACCGUGCGAAGGUAGCGCAAUCAAUUGUCCCAUAAAUCGAGACUUGUAUGAACGGCUAAACGAGGUCUUAACUGUCUCUUACAGAUAAUCAGUGAAAUUGAUCUCCCUGUGCAAAAGCAGGAAUAAAUACAUAAGACGAGAAGACCCUGUGGAACUUAAAAACCAGCAGCCACCCCACAAACAUAAACCAGACCUACUCAGGCCUACCACUACAACACAUCUGGCUCGCAUUUUUUCGGUUGGGGCGACCUUGGAGAAAAACAAACCCUCCAAAAAUAAGACCACCCACUCUUAACUAAGAGCAACCCCUCAAUGUACUAAUAGUAACCAGACCCAAUAUACUUGAUCAAUGGACCAAGCUACCCCAGGGAUAACAGCGCAAUCCCCUCCAAGAGCCCAUAUCGACGAAGGGGUUUACGACCUCGAUGUUGGAUCAGGACAUCCUAAUGGUGCAGCAGCUAUUAAGGGUUCGUUUGUUCAACGAUUAACAGUCCUACGUGAUCUGAGUUCAGACCGGAGCAAUCCAGGUCGGUUUCUAUCUAUGAUGAACUUUCCCUAGUACGAAAGGACCGGGAAAGUGAGGCCAAUACAAAUUGCACGCCCCCUCUCUAAGUAAUGACCUCAACUGAAUUACCAAGAGAUUCCCCAUAACAAUAAAUCCUAGAAAAGGAUC
RNAcentral lists this ribosomal RNA (1141 nucleotides) under Ptilinopus magnificus. RNAcentral describes it as "partial 16S ribosomal RNA". It matches the Rfam family "Bacterial large subunit ribosomal RNA", at positions 1314 to 2852 of the family's 2925-position model. Lineage: Eukaryota; Metazoa; Chordata; Aves; Columbiformes; Columbidae. The record is from RNAcentral.